RNAcentral lists this unclassified non-coding RNA (1770 nucleotides) under Manduca sexta (tobacco hornworm). Its description in RNAcentral is "syntaxin-17, transcript variant X1". Lineage: Eukaryota; Metazoa; Arthropoda; Insecta; Lepidoptera; Sphingidae. The record is from RNAcentral.
CGUCAAUUGUCAACUGUCAAAUUAUUGUCAAACCAAAAUUGAUAUUUAUUUUGUAUUGAGUUCGUAAUUCGUAUACUGUGAGACCAGUAUGUGACUAUUUACUUGUGUUUUUAUACGUACAAAUAACUUUUAAUACUUUUGCAAAUCUAAAAUCUGUGAUAAAAAUGGAGGAGCAGAAUAAACUGCCGCUAAAGAGAGUAGAGCUUUCAUUAACAAAAUUUAACGAAGUCGCAAUACCGCAUCACUUGGACUUGCUUAGACAACACAAGGCCAAUAUUAUCAAAUAUGAAGAAAAUGGUGAGUACCCUCGCGUCCGCUCGGAGCAGGUGCACGCUCGUCGCGUCGCGUCGCAGCUGCGAGUGUUGCUCGCCGAGCUGGAGACGCUGCGGCGGCAGGUGAGGCCUGAGGACCUGACCAAGUUCGACAAGCUCACGCAGCGAUCCAGGGACCUCACGCUUAGAGCGAUUAUGGAUUAUUUGGGUAUAAUUGAGAGCAGUUGUAGGGCGAUUGUGGCACGGGGCGCGAGCCCUCGUCGCAGCGACACUUCCCCUCUUUCUAUAAAUCGUCGUCCGCCCGAGCAGACGGUGGCGGGGAGCACGAUGUCCACCGACUCCGUGGGCAUCAUAUCCAGGGGUGAUGAUGUACAGGAGUUGGAGUCGCCUUUAAUACAGCUUCAGGUGAACGAGCAAGAAGUGGCGCUGCGCGAGCGUGAGGCGGUUCUGCGCGGGUGGAGCGAGCUGCAGUCCGAAGUGCGCGCCCUGCACGAGGCGUGGCAGACCGUGCAGGCCGCCGCACUCGCUGAUAGAGAACGGGUAGCUACAGUGUCAACUAAUGUGGAGGUUGCCGCGGAAAAUGUUGAAGUUGCUCGCACUCACCUAUCUGCUGCGGAAAGGUUGAAGGCGGGCGCGAUGGGUGCGGGCGGCGCGGUGCUGGGCGCCGCGCUGUGCGGCCCGGCGGGGCUCGUGCUCGGCGCCAAGGCCGGCGCCGCCGCCGCGCUCGCGGGCUCCCUCCUGGGGUACCUGGGGGCGCGCCUCGUCGGCAACAGGAGGCGCGCUGUGCUGGACCACGCUGGCGAUAAGGAGCUCAGGGUGGACAAGGACGAGAAAAAAUCACAAUAGCGACACGCUUGCGUCUGUUUCUAGACGCAUUGGCAAUUUAGGAUAUAGCGGGUAUCUGUAUUGGGGGCCUUGAAGUUGUGAAUGAAGGACAUUCGAGUUUGGUUCUAAUACAAUAUUGUCAACAUAUUGCUUUUUUUAUGUAUCUUGCGAAAGAUUGUCUUGGAAUUAAGAGUAGGUAGCUGAUUAUGUAUUUAAAUUUAUUUAUUAGCCUGUUGUCAAUAUGUGUGCUGGUUAUUAGAAUAUUUAUUACCACAUAUAUAAAAUAAUGUAACCGUGACAUAGUCGAGUAAUUAUGCGUUUUGCUUGUGAUAUCCUCAUUAUAUUUGACUAGUGCAAUAAAUAUAACUAAAGGCGUAUGUAUAUGACGUUUUUAUUAAGAGAUGUAUUUUCAAUGCUAUGUUCGUAAAGUUACAUAGUUCCCAACUGCAUCGUGUUUCAUGCAGCGUUGAUUGCGUUAGAGGAACCCUUUAGCUCUUUAAAAAACACGCCAUGUGUAUAUCCUUUAAAGUCAUAAGGGUAGCUAUAGAAACUCUAACUAAUAAUAUAUCGACUAUGAAAUACGUAUACAUUAUUAUCUGUAUCUAAAUUUGCUAUACGUCAAUGUAAAUAUAAUUGCAUUGAGUGUAACUCCUGUAACAUUAUAUUUAAUAAA